AGCGAACGCUGGCGGCAGGCCUAACACAUGCAAGUCGAACGAACUCUUCGGAGUUAGUGGCGGACGGGUGAGUACCACGUGGGAACGUGCCUUUUGGUUCGGAAUAACUCAGGGAAACUUGUGCUAAUACCGCAUGUGCCCUUCGGGGGAAAGAUUUAUCGCCAUUAGAGCGGCCCGCGUCUGAUUAGCUAGUUGGUGAGGUAACGGCUCACCAAGGCGACGAUCAGUAGCUGGUCUGAGAGGAUGACCAGCCACACUGGGACUGAGACACGGCCCAGACUCGUACGGGAAGCAGCAGAAGGGAAUCUUGCGCGAGGGGCGAAAGCCUGACGCAGCCAUGCCGCGUGAAUGAUGAAGGGCGUAGGAUUGUAAAAUUCUUUCUCCGGGGACGAUAAUGACGGUACCCGGAGAAGAAGCCCCGGCUAACUUCGUG
This 433-nucleotide ribosomal RNA is filed under the name uncultured bacterium. RNAcentral's name for it is "partial 16S ribosomal RNA". It matches the Rfam family "Bacterial small subunit ribosomal RNA", at positions 29 to 507 of the family's 1533-position model. The record is from RNAcentral.